Long non-coding RNA from Nothoprocta perdicaria, 312 nucleotides. RefSeq lists it as uncharacterized. The transcript has 3 exons. The record is from RefSeq and is a predicted model, not a curated record. NCBI's taxonomy places the organism in Eukaryota, Metazoa, Chordata, Aves, Tinamiformes, Tinamidae.
CUUGCCCUGAUGAAGCAAACUCACUUGUGCCCUGCUUAUGCUGUGAACUACCUAUUUAUGAUCUGACUGGAGAGAAAGAGUUAAUGGAAAACAAGACACUGCUGAAACAUCAUUGCUGCAUUUGUGGUAAUGCUUCUGGUAUGUGCUGAUCACUUCGUCUGUUUUGAAACUCCUGUACAUUCUGAAUAUCCAUCAUUCUUCCCAUAAAGCAAGAAGAGGAAGACACCCUCCAUCUUCAGAUAGCAAUCAUAAAACAAAAUAACAUGAAAUUGUGAAAUGAGUGGGUGAAAACUUUGUUCUACAGAGAUCUGU